RNAcentral lists this long non-coding RNA (445 nucleotides) under Neogale vison (American mink). Its description in RNAcentral is "Neovison vison (American mink) lncRNA (ENSNVIG00000022731.1)". The record is from RNAcentral. Lineage: Eukaryota; Metazoa; Chordata; Mammalia; Carnivora; Mustelidae.
AGGAACGUCAGGCGCUGGGAGAGUUUAAGUCGUUGAAGUGGUAGAAAGCGUUUCGGGUGGCGGAGGAGAUCCCUGCCAGUGCAGAGAAGCGUCCGCGGAAUCCAGGAAGUGAUGAGAGACCUGAACUCCUGCAGAGGAUACAGGAGGUGACUGUCAGGAGGCAAAGUGGAGAAGUACACACAGAUCUACCGGCUUAGCCAGGAGCCACCAGUAUUGGGAAGCUUGAACAAUGUGCAAUUUCCCUAUUCUAAGUCUCGACAUAGAACAUCAUCAGGCAGGAAGAGAGCCAGGUGACAAGGUGCUCUGGGAACGUCUGGUGAACCGAAGGGACUGCCUACUGGCCACAGUUCUUUUUCAACAAGGCUAAUGAUAAUGGUGGCCAGGAAUUUUUUUUCUCUCUGCCGGGUGUUGCAGAACCUGAACACUGAGGCCAUGUAAGUCUGAA